Meleagris gallopavo (turkey) is the source of this 3842-nucleotide non-coding RNA. NCBI's taxonomy places the organism in Eukaryota, Metazoa, Chordata, Aves, Galliformes, Phasianidae. The record is from RefSeq and is a predicted model, not a curated record.
UUUUUCCACUUAAGUUACCAUUUUUUUCAAAUAAGUAUUGAUUGUUCUGUUAAGCUGUUUGGUCCUGGUGGUGUCUGAAGGUAGGGUAAAUCAGGAAGAGUUCCUUUAAAGUGCACGUGGAAUUGUCCUGAUGUAAAAUGAAUGCUUGCAGGUAGAGAUUCCCAGAUGAUUAAAUUACAUUGUUUUGGAAAAUUUAGAGCCUCUCAGGAAUUGUUAUACACAGGAAAAAGAAAAUUCCAUCGAUUCCUGGAGUAUUUAUUGUAUUUCGGGCUAAUCUGAAGCAUGAUGAUGGCUUACUUCACGCUUUCUCUGUUAGCAAAACUAUUAAGUUCUGGUUCUAAAAGGGUACUUCCCAGUGUCUGAGGCUUGAUGUUUGCUUUGUUUUGAUCCAUAAGGAUAUGGCACUUCUGCUCUAAUUUGCUCAGGAAGUAGAAACAUUGUCGGUUAUCUUAUAAAGCAGUUAUGAUUAAUUUAGCAUUUAUUGUUCUAUACGUUAUAUGUUAUCAUGUGUAGCUGAGAAAACUAGAAAAAUCUCUUGAAAAUCCUGAUUGUGGCAGGUGUUAAACUUUCUUGCAACUCAGCUUUUCCUUGGGACAUGAAGAAUUUAUUAAGCCCUUCUUUCUAGUAGGCAGGGCAAUCAUUGAAAAGGUCAUCUUUUAAAACACUUUGAAGUACAUUCUGCAUUACAAAAAGCAUUUGACAUUUCAUUUUUCCUUGUUUUUCACGUGUAGCCAUGGCACAUAGCACCUGUGGUGCAUUUGCUGCCGUAACUCAGUAAUCAGAGUACGAGAUCACAACUUGCUAGAAUUUGAAGGAAAGAGUUUCUGCUUAAUUUUAGAUUACAUGUCAAAUCCUUUACAUCUACAUUUAAGUUUCAGUUAAAAUGAAGAAUAUCGCUGUAAUGUUUUAAACAUCUUUUAAUAAAUACCUUGAGGUAAUUCUUAAAGAACACACAGUCUGAAGAAAUAAAUAUGCAUACAGGAUUUUCAAGGUAGAACUCAUACGAGUGCUAAGUUGUAGCUUCCUAUGCUUUGAGCCCAUUACCUUUGUCAAAAUGUUUGUUACUAGCAUGUCACUAGGCUAAUGUUCUGCUGGUGAAAUGUGUUGGGUUUUUUUGUGUGUGUGGUUGUUGCUGGGGCAUGUAGGUGUGAUAUUUAUGAACAACUGUUGAUGAAGUCAGUAUAAUCAGCAAUCAGUACAUUCUCUGAGCUGUCUCGUGAAGAAUCCUGCUAGCUGUUUACAGCUCUGGAGCAGACAGUGCUCUUUGUUGGCAGGUUAGUAGGUAGAGAAAAGAGAUGCAUAACCUAUCUUUCCAUUUAAUUCGAACAGAGCUUCUCUUUGAAGUGGCUAAAGAAGUUGCAUAGCCUUGCUACCAGGCUGAACUUAGAUAACCAAAGGACAUUAUUAAGAAGAGUGUAUUACGUUGGAGUCUGCAACUCGUGUGCCUUAGCUAAACUGUGUGGAAGAAAUACAGCAUGGUUUUAAUGCCAACUUAGCACUUGAAUUCUGAUCAUUCACCAGGAGAAAAUAUGAUGUUCAGAGCAGCAAGUCAGAGAAGAGUCUUUGAAAAAGCUGAAUUCCCCUUUCAGAAGUAGGACUAAGUCUGAAAGAGCCUAUGUGCAGACUAAGAACUGACAGAAGUUGCUGGAUCCAGUUGCAUUUCCUUGGUCUUAUAAGCAAAAUGGGAAUUUGAUGAAGUGACAGUUUUCCUUUCAAGAUGCAUUACUGGAAGAGGAAUUAAGAACAGGGAGUCAGCACCAUGUGGCUGUUCUGCUGUCUUUGAAUGGUUAUGUGUUCCAUAGAUCAUUCUGGUAAAUGUCUUGGGAUCAUUCCACAAGGUCUUCAUAGAAGUUCAGUUCUGGUCACAAAGUUGUAUUUGAAUGCUACAAAUCAGUUUCAAGAAGACUGAAACAUCUCAGUAAAAUCUCCUUGGGACAGAUUUGGCAUAUGUCCUACCACAAUGGUAUUGUUUUACUCUCCUUGUUUGUAUGGGCACAGAAAAAAGAAAUGGAGAAUUAGGCACUUGGUUUUGGUACCAUCUGAUUGUUGUAUUCCUGUCUAGUUUUCUAUCUAGCUAGUAUAUCAGAUAUUGGACAUUAUGAUAUUAAACUCUGUGGUUUCUAUUUAAUUUCUAAAAUAAAAUUUCCAGGACAAUAUAUAUCCUUGCAAAGUGAAUGAAACAAAUUUGGUGUCUGCUUAUAGCCAAGUGCUUCUUCCAACUCUUCCCCCUCCACAGAGUAGCCUGAUUUGAGAUGGUGGCCAGAAGCUUAUUAGCAUUAAGGGACAUAGUAUUUUUGAUCCAGAGGAGGAGUGAGAAAUAUCGCUUUCUGCACAUCUGUCAAAGGGCAGAAAGAAUGAAAAAGGGAAGUAAAUGAUAGAAUGUGAAGAAUAAAAUAAAUAAAUAAUAAAAAACCCAACAAAAUAAUAAGACAAACAUAAACCCAACAAGUGCUACUGUAUAUCCUGGCUGUGAGGUGACAGUACCAAGUCUGUACCAAUCAAGUUGCUUUAAUCUUGGUAUGCAGUUACCUAGCCUUCUAUCAUGUCUGUCUUGUCCGUGGAUGAAAAUCCUGGUUGUUCUCUAUGUGAUUGAAAGGUUCAGUUGGCCUUUUGUGUUUCUAUUUUGUGUGACAGUAGAGCAAUGAACAGCUUUCUUGUUGUGCUGUGAAGAUGAGCGGCAGUAUGCUCAGAUGUGAGUAAUUGUUGUAGCCCAGGUGUUCACACAAACACCUACAAGGAAGCCAAGUUUGAUAACAAAAUAUAAAAGUGCAGUUUGGAGACCUGAAACUUUGCAGAAGAUAACUCUAGUGUUCCAGUUGAUGAGCUGAAUGCAUGAAAUCAGUGUGUCUCAGUAAAGGAUGCCAACUUAUGUAUGAGACUGUGAGAGCAAGGACAUGAAAAUCUGCUUAAAGGAAGUGAUUAUUCUCCUCUAUUUGGCAUGUGUGAGUUUCCCUGAAAUACUGUUCAGUUCUGGCUCCCUAGUACAAGAAACACAUUGAUAUACGAGAAUGGCUCCAGAGAAAAUAAUGUCAGGAUACUAGAAUGUGUUGUAUGCAAGGAGUGGCUGAAAGUUGGGUUUGUUUAGCCUGAGGAUAAAACCAUGGCAGGAUCUUGCUGCUGUCUGAAAUUAUCUGAUGCUUAGCUAUAGUAAGACAAAACUCAACUCUUCCAGUAGGUGAUAGGACAAGAAGCAUCAUACCCAUGAUAAAACAGGUUAAAUCCAAAUUAAUACAAAGUUUCAUAUUGAGGAUGGUUAGACAAAAGAGCUGAUUAUCCAGAGAAUUUGUGCAAUCUUCAUCUUUGAAGAUACUCAGAACUCAAGUGGAGAACCUCACCUGAUUGUAUCUGUUUUAAACCUUAUGUUCUCCAGAGUAGUUCCAGUGUGUAUUGCUCUUUGAAUCAAAUUUCGUGAUCUGCAAGCAGUGGUAUAAAAAGUAAUAAAAAGAAAAAGGGGAAGAUAAAGCACCUCCAGAAAGCCCAGUUGCUGUUACUGUUUUGCAACAGGUUAUCCUUAAGGGGUGUAUGACAUAGUUACCUGAUUGUGGAAGUUCAUUCAUUCUUCAGUUAAAUGUAGCCUUUAUUUAUCAGAUCAAGCUAAAAUGAAAAAGUGUUCAGAGUUGUCCCAGCCAACAGUUUCGUUUCUCUCCAGAUAUCUCUGAGACAUAAAAAUUACUUUUCAGUUUUCAUAUUUAUUCAGGGAGACUAUUUGUGUUAGAGAAUUCCCUCAGAUUUCUCAGCUUCCACUAGAAAAUAAAUGUGUUCAUUUGUUGUUGUGAUACUACCUUUGAGAUGGCUAAUAUAUUUUUUUAUUUAUGUACACAUUUUAUAUAUAUAUAUAUAUA